CUUCUGCGAUAAAAUAAACACUUCAUAUUUGUACUGGUAGUUUUGUAUUAUCUUGAAUUGUACUUUUUUUUAGAUAAUCUUGAAUUGUACUUAAGAUGUCCUGUUCUACAUUUUGAAAGGGUAAAACAAACAAGGGAAUAGAAAGAAAAGCGCAAUGUUGUUACUUGUUGAAAUCGAAAAAGUAAAGUGUUUCCAUUGAAUCAAUGGGGUUAUGGGAGGCCUUCGGCAAUUGGUUACGCAGCCUCUUUUUCAAGCAAGAAAUGGAGUUAUCUUUGGUUGGCCUUCAGGAUGCUGGGAAAACAUCACUUAUAAAUGUUAUUGCAGUAUCUUACCAGACCUUCUACAUGAUUAAUUUUCCAUUUCAUUUCCUACGCUGAUCAUGACAAUUUAUCUGUCUCUAAAUGAACUUCAUGACUUGUUGAGCAAACCUUCUUUAAGUGGGAUUCCUAUGCUUAUUUUGGGUAAUAAGAUUGACAAACCUGGGGCAUUGUCUAAGCAAGACCUGACAGAGCAGAUGGGACUGAAAUGCAUCAAUGGUAGAGAAGUUUGUUGCUUCAUGAUCUCCUGUAAAAACUCCAUCAACAUUGAUACAGUUAUUGAUUGGCUUGUAAAACAUUCUAAAUGGAUGAACUGAAGCUUGAGUUCUGCCCUAUUGAUCUAUUUGUAUGUUGUAUUACAGAUGAACCUAGCUGAUUGAACUUCUGUUGGUGUGAUACUAGUUUUUCUUUUCCCUUUUUUGACUAGCUUACACCAAACCAGACAACAUGUGAUUUGAUAUGUACAUUCUAACGAAUUACAUGUGAGAGUUGUGAAUUAUAAGGUAAGACAAUUGUUAAUGCUACAUAUGCAAUGGAUUUGAAUAAACAAUUGUUUUCAUAAUAUUAUUCAAAGAUUGAUAUUUUUGAGUGGCAGGCAUCAUGGACAACAAUCCACAACGUCCUUCCUAAUUCAGCUUGAAAUAACAUAGAUCAUUUAGCAAUAUUACUUCAUUGUAAAAUGUAGAGUUCAAAUGGUGUACUUAGACAUAAGAUAACAUACCACACUCUCAGCGUUGUGACUGAUGCUUGCAAACUUGUGGAGAGAUACAGAAAUCAAAUCAACUGCUAAGCGUGUCAUAGCAUGCCAAGCAGUUUUUAUGCUUACAUGAAAACACUAAUGCAGCCAGAUAGUUAAGACUGAUUCACAUCUCCUAUUCUUUUGGUGGAAGAAACACAACUGCAAGUGUUCUUUUCUGGUUGAGAAUGCAGUGCAAGUCUUUGUGCCUAGUGAAUGACAAACACACAUUUGAGAAUAACACAGGCACAAUAAAUAUGAAAAAAUAGGGGCUGAGAAUGCAGUACAUGCCUAUGUGCCUAGUCAAUGAUUAACACACACUUGAGGACAAUACAGGCACAGAUAUAUAUUAAAAAAAAUAGGGGCAUUCCGAGAAUCGAACUCGGGACCUCUCGCACCCAAAGCGAGAAUCAUACCACUAGACCAAAUGCCCACACUGAAGGGGUAAAGGCUAAAUCAAAUGUAUGUUUAGUGUUUUGUUAAAAAAAUUUAUGCAUGCCACAUUGUCUUCAGUUCUACAGUAAGAUUGUAUACAGAAUUACAAUUGACCAUAUUUGCUUACCAGGAUAGAAUUGUCAGUCAAGAUAACUUAUUUUUCUAGUCAAGGUACAAAGGGAGUUUUCUUAUUUACCCCUGAUUUUAUAUUUUGACUUUUUUAUUGGAUUGUUAGAUCAAAUUUUUUCAAUUAAAAUUGAUUAUGCAUGCCACCUUGCUUGCAGUUCUAUAUUUAGAUUGCAUGUAAAUGACCAGAUUUGCAUACCUGGAUAGGCAAUUUUCAGUCAAGGUAACUUGCUUUAAAUUUACCCCUCUGGUUUUAUAUUUUAAGACCAACCAUGACUUGCAACAUAUUAUUCUAUUACAUUUUCAGUGGCAAGUCCAAGUUGUCACUUAGUACUGAAAAUCUUCCAACCAAAAAUGUUAAUGUAUCACAUCAUUCAUCCCAACACAUUCACAUGGAGCCUCUGACGCUUAUUGUUUAUAUAAAUAAACAACCUAACAAGUCAAGCUCGUCAGCAUCUAGAGCUUCAAAAGGUUAAAAUUUAGAAAUAAUAUCUUAUGCUUAUUGGUAUUUAAGUAUACCAAUUAACAAGUCAAGUCAAGCUUGUAAGCUUCCAAAUCAUCAAAGUAUAGGACAUUCCGAGAAUUGUACCACAAGACCAAAAGUCUUAUUAUGCUAAUUUUGUUGUCUGCUAAUUCUAUUAAAAACUAAUGAAUUGUUUUAGUGAAAUUAUUUUUGGGUGGAUUCUGAAGUUAAAGCUUGGCUUCUAACUCGUGCUUCCUGACUUUUACCACACGUCAUCCGUAAAUUGGUAGCAUUCUCUUUUUUACCCAAGUUGAAACAUUGUACUUUUAGUGUUGUUUCAUAAGUGCAGGGAGCUGAAAUCCAUCAGCAAUAGAGAAGUUUGUUGCUUCUUCAUCUCGUAAAAAAUCCACCAACAUUGAUACAAGUUUUUGGUUGGCUUAAAACAUUUUAAAUCAAAGAACUGAUGUUUUGCAGUAUGCAUCUAUUUGUAUGUUGCACGACAGACUGACCAAACUGAAACAAGUAACUUCUGUUGGUGUCAUACUAGUUUUUCUUUUCCUUUUCUGACUGGAUUACAUUAAAAUAAACAGCAUGUGAUUUGAUCCCUAGGUUAUCACAUAUAUACUACAUCUCAGUGUUGUAAAUUAUAGAAUCAGAUGCUUGAUAAUGCUACAUUUGUUAUGAAAUUUGAAUAAAUAAUUGUGUUCAUACAUUUGUUUUUAUAAGAUGUUGAUAUUUUUGGGUGCCAGGCAUCAUGGACAACAAUUCAUAACCUCCUUCCUUAUUCAAUUUGAAAUAACAUAGUUUAUUUAGCAAUAUUACUUCAUUGUAGAAUUUAGAGUUCAAAUGUCACAACUAGACUUAGACAUUACAUACCUCAAUCUCAGUAAUUUAACUGAUGCUUACAAACUUGUGGAGAGAUUUGGAAAUAAAAGCAACUGCUUAGUGCUUCCUGGCAAGCUAUCUUGAUGCUCAACUGUGAAGGAUAAUGGAGCCAGAUUGUGAAGACUGAUUCACAUCUUCUCCUGUUGUUUUGGUGGAAGAACUGCAACUAUGCUAGUUUGCUGAUAAUGCAGUCCUUGUCUUUGUGCCUAGUCAAUGAGAAAACACACAUGAGGACAAUACAGGAACAAAUAAAUAUGAAAAAAUGGGGGCAGAAAUAUGAAAAAAUGGGGGCAUUCCGAGAAUCGAACUCGGGACCUCUCGCACCCAAAGCGAGAAUCAUACCACUAGACCAAAUGCCCACAUUGAAAGGGAGUGGGGGGGAUGCUAUCCAUGACCAUAAGCAAUGGAGAAGUUUGUUGCUUCAUGAUCUCAUAAAAACUCCACCAACACUGACUAGAGGAGAGGUACAGAGAUCAAGGCUACUUCUAAGUGCCUCUUGGGAAGAUGUCUUGGUCCUCAAAUGUGAAGGCUAAUACAGCCCGGUGGUUAAGACAAGUUCACAUCGUAUCCUGUUCUUUGAUGGAACAAACCCAACUGCAAGUAUUCUAUUCUGGCUGAGAAUGAAGUGCAUGUCUUUGUGCCUAGUCAAUGACAAACACCCACUUGAGGGAUAAUACAGGCACAGAUAAAAAUGAAAACAUGGGAGCAUUCCGAGAAUCGAACUCGGCACCCAAAGCGAAAAUCAUACCACUAGACCAAAUACCACUAGUUUUCUGUUAAAAUAUUUUGUGUGAGAAACAUUGUCUUCAGUUCUACAGUAAGAUUGCAUACAAAUGACCAGAUUUGCUUACGUGGAUUGGCAAUUGUUAGUCAAAAUAAUUUGUUUUUCUAGUCAAGGUAUCAAAGGGAGUUUGCUUAUUUACCACUCUGAUUUUAUAUUUUAAGACAAACUAUGAUAUGCAACAUAUUAUUUUAUUAC
Long non-coding RNA from Glycine soja, 3941 nucleotides. RefSeq lists it as uncharacterized. The record is from RefSeq and is a predicted model, not a curated record. The transcript has 6 exons. NCBI's taxonomy places the organism in Eukaryota, Viridiplantae, Streptophyta, Magnoliopsida, Fabales, Fabaceae.